CCCACCAUGUGUGUCCACACCCACUCUCGUGCCACAGCCGCGCGUGAGCCGGGAGUGUCAGAUGCAUGCCAGGGCAGCCAUCUCCAUUCCGGCCCAGUGUGGUGCUGAUGCUGAGAGACCCUCAUGGCUUAAUCGCAUCACUGCGGGUUGUUUGGAAAGGAAGGGGUGGGGCACUGGGGAACUCCAUCGCUAAUUCUCUUUUUCUUUCAUUCAGUGAGAAAAUGAGACCAGCAGCCAGCAGGAGCCACACAGAUGGCGCAGGCAUGACCCACAUUGCCGGCGGGAAGACCCUCGGCGCCCUGGAGCCCGCGGAGCCACUGGGGCCACCCAAUCUCGCCGGCGCCUCGGCCAUGCACCUGAGCCUGCUGGACAUGCGUCACGGCAUGGCAGAGCUCAGAUGCCAGCUGCAGCAGAUGCAACAGCUGCAGGUAGCAUGCACGUCCCUCUCCCCCCUCACCGACCCCUCCUCCUGUCCUAUGGCUUGGCCACCACGAUUGACAAAUAGGAAAAAAGCAGACGAAUCUGUGCCCUGGCUCAGGUCCUAGGGAACCAGGGGCUGCGGUCUCUGUGACACCGUGCAUUUGCACCGCGUCGGCCUAACACCUCACUGCCUGGACAACGCUGGCCUCGCCUGGUGUCACCCGGAUGCAGGCUUCUGCGCUGCCCUUGGGGAGCUCUCGUGCAGCACUGCUAAAAGCAAGCGCACUCAGGAGCCUGGUGCCCUCCAUCUCCCCCCAGACCUCCACGAUGGAGAAUUCUCCCAUCACCUAUCUAAGGCUGACAAAGGGAUUUCCCUGGGCCAAGAAGGGUGGUGUGCCCGAGGGCCCUGCCCCAAGGCCCCAGCACCAGAUGGGCCUGACCAGGCUGCCCAGUGUCCCCAGCUCCCAGGGCCGCUGCAUCUCUGUGCUUGGAUAGCCAGCGCACGUCCACUUCCGGUCUGUGGCAUCCAUGAAGUUCCCCACUGCUGGUAUGAGCUCUACAGUCUUAGGGACACUUUGCAGGGUGGGCAUUUGGCUUCACGGUUAAGGCACUACCUUGCACACUGGAGUGCCUGGGUUCUGCUCCAGCUCUGGCUCCUACAUCCGGGUUCUUCCCAGUGCCUGGUGACGGCUGCAGGACUCAGGUCUCUGCCACCUAUCUAAGAGACCCUGAUUGAAUUUCCAACUCCCAGCUGUGGCCCUGGCCAUUGCAGGCAUUUGGAGAGUGAACCAGCAGAUGGGAGCUUGCUCUCUGUCUCUCGCAUUUAAAAAGAAAAAAAAAUUAAGACACUUUGCAAUGAAAUAAAGUGUCCAGGUCGGGCA
This 1301-nucleotide long non-coding RNA is filed under the name Oryctolagus cuniculus (rabbit). RNAcentral's name for it is "lncRNA (ENSOCUG00000034222.1)". The record is from RNAcentral. Lineage: Eukaryota; Metazoa; Chordata; Mammalia; Lagomorpha; Leporidae.